ACAACAACAACUAUUCUAUAUAACUUCGUUGGUGCGUGCGAAUUUGUGCAAUUAUCCGAGUACAUAAAGCUAUUACGAAAUCGUCGAAUAGUCAGUCGAAUGCGCCGCAAUGCCACGGUCGUAAAAGAUUUUGCAAUUUCACUCUUUUGGACUGACGCGUCAGCAUCCGGAGUUUAACUUUGGGCGGAAGCUCGAAGGAAACAAUUUCGUUGUAAUUUUAAACGGUUAGACAUUUCCAGGGUUGGUUAAGGAUUUGUACUUAAUUGGACUUCCUUGAAGAUCUUAGGAAGAAAACUCAUUUAUAGUAUAUAUUCUCCAAAGGUCGAACUUAAUUAGACUUCCUUGAAGAAUUCUCAAGAAAAAACUCAUUUAUAUAUUCUCCAAAGGUCAGAACAUCACAUCCACCUGUAACAAAUUGCCUCUGGAAGACCAAAUCUGUAUAUACUUAAGCUCUUCUAACCUCUUGGAACGAUUUAAUCUACAGAGAUUACAUAUUGAAUAUAGUUUAGAGAGUAUUUCUGCAUAAAUAUUAUUUCAGGAUAGAUUGCUAGAAAGGCAUACUUCUCAAAUCCAUGUAAAUAAAUAAAUACCAGUGUACACAUCUAAAUUCCUCAUAACAAUCAUAGUUUUAACGCGUCUCACACUAAUUAAGUCGUCUCAAGCCUGUCUUGCACGGUUUUCAACACGAAUUCAUGCGCACUUGAAAGCCAAAAGAGGUGCGACAAUCCAAGUACCCAAGCGAUAUGUCAAUAUUUGUAAAGAACUUAGCUGUCAAACAUAGCAGAUUCCUUUGGAGCAUACAUCCCUUAAGAUGAGAAAAGACAAAACUAUGCAAAAGACAAACAAUAACGUUGUAUACAAACGAAGUUCGCAUCGCUAAAGAGUUGACAACUCGACGCGGCGCUGUCACCGAUCCGAACUCCAUACCUACGACUAUCGCCAAAGCGUGCAAAUCAAGUUUAUCAAGUGUUUAUGUCUCCUUCGCUAUUUUGUUGUUUCAUUUUUUAAAUAUUUUUCGUUUAUUUUUUCGUGACAACUGUCACCUUUUGAUUUCGUAUGAUUUCGCAGCGGUGGUCUGGUCGCUUUAAAUGGCUAGACUGCAUACGCACUCACAGCGAAAGACUCUGCAGCUCCGUUGCGUGUUUUUUUUCGUACAUUUGUUUGCCAGUGCAUGCCACACAGGUGUUUCAAGCUUUGCUGCUUAUGAUUAUGGCUGUGAGCGCAUAUAAAUAGCAGUGGAUCACUUUCAUUUCAACGAGUAGUUGAACUAGCUAAAUCUUCACGCAACUAUUUGAGCUGCGGUCAUUGAUUUGGAUUGAUUUAUGGUCACAACAGUUUUGUUCGUGGUUGAAUGCUUUUAAAGUUUAAUGAUCUGUAGAUCUCUAAAAGUGAUUAGUAUCCGAGUUAAAAAUGACAGCUGAAUUGGUUGCAGUUAAUGGAAAUCUCAAAAUGAUGCUA
Zeugodacus cucurbitae (melon fly) is the source of this 1458-nucleotide long non-coding RNA. RefSeq lists it as uncharacterized. The record is from RefSeq and is a predicted model, not a curated record. The transcript has 3 exons. Lineage: Eukaryota; Metazoa; Arthropoda; Insecta; Diptera; Tephritidae.